CCUACGCGAGGCAGCAGUGAGGAAUAUUGGUCAAUGGCCGGAAGGCUGAACCAGCCAAGCCGCGUGAAGGACGAAGGUGCCAAGCAUUGUAAACUUCUUUUGUCAAGGGACAAAAUCAGGCUCGAGAGCCUGACCGAGGGUACUUGAAGAAAAAGCAUCGGCUAACUCCGUGCCAGCAGCCGCGGUAAUACGGAGGAUGCGAGCGUUAUCCGGAUUGAUUGGGUUUAAAGGGUGCGUAGGCGGAAUGAUAAGUUAGAGGUGCAAUGUCCGAGCUUAACUCGGGAACUGCCUAUAAUACUGUUUAGCUAGGGAGUAGGUGCGGUAGGACGAAUGUAUGGUGUAGCGGUGAAAUGCUUAGAGCUCAUACAGAACACCGAUUGCGAAGGCAGCUUACCAAUCUAUAUCUGACGUUGAGGCACGAAAGCGUGGGGAGCAAACAGGAUUAGAUACCCGAGUAGUC
This 460-nucleotide ribosomal RNA is filed under the name uncultured bacterium. RNAcentral's name for it is "partial 16S ribosomal RNA". It matches the Rfam family "Bacterial small subunit ribosomal RNA", at positions 338 to 795 of the family's 1533-position model. The record is from RNAcentral.